AGAUUGAACGCUGGCGGCAGGCCUAACACAUGCAAGUCGAGCGGCAGCACGGGAAGCUUGCUUUCUGGUGGCGAGCGGCGGACGGGUGAGUAAUGCAUAGGAAUCUACCCGGUAGUGGGGGAUAACCUGGGGAAACUCAGGCUAAUACCGCAUACGUCCUACGGGAGAAAGCGGGGGCUCUUCGGACCUCGCGCUAUCGGAUGAGCCUAUGCCGGAUUAGCUAGUUGGUGAGGUAAUGGCCCACCAAGGCGACGAUCCGUAGCUGGUCUGAGAGGAUGAUCAGCCACAUCGGGACUGAGACACGGCCCGAACUCCUACGGGAGGCAGCAGUGGGAAUAUGGACAAGUGGGGGCAACCCUGAUCCAGCCAUCGCCGCGUGUGUGAAGAAGGCGUUUCGGGUUGUAAAGCACUUUCGAGGUGGGAAGAAAGUCCCGUUGGGCUUUAAAGUACGU
RNAcentral lists this ribosomal RNA (452 nucleotides) under uncultured soil bacterium. RNAcentral's name for it is "bacterial SSU rRNA". It matches the Rfam family "Bacterial small subunit ribosomal RNA", at positions 26 to 480 of the family's 1533-position model. The record is from RNAcentral.